GCUAGCGCCCAUAGCCCGAGGGUAAGUCCUGUACCCAUUCCGAACACAGAAGAGAAUCCUCGGGACGUCCUACUGUUAGUGCCCCACAGGCGCGAAGGUAGGUUGGUGCUAGCG
RNAcentral lists this ribosomal RNA (114 nucleotides) under Candidatus Rehaiarchaeum fermentans. The record is from RNAcentral. Lineage: Archaea; Nanobdellati; Candidatus Parvarchaeota.